GUAAGGAAUAUUGGUCAAUGGACGAAAGUCUGAACCAGCCAUGCCGCGUGGAGGAUUAAGGCCCUCUGGGUUGUAAACUCCUUUUAUCUGGGAAGAAAUGUACUUUUUCUUGAGUACUUGACGGUACCAGAGGAAUAAGCACCGGCUAACUCCGUGCCAGCAGCCGCGGUAAUACGGAGGGUGCAAGCGUUAUCCGGAUUCACUGGGUUUAAAGGGUGCGUAGGCGGGCAGGUAAGUCAGUGGUGAAAUCUCCGAGCUUAACUCGGAAACUGCCGUUGAUACUAUUUGUCUUGAAUAUUGUGGAGGUAAGCGGAAUAUGUCAUGUAGCGGUGAAAUGCUUAGAUAUGACAUAGAACACCAAUUGCGAAGGCAGCUUACUACACAACGAUUGACGCUGAGGCACGAAAGCGUGGGGAUCAAACAGGAUUAGAAACCCCAGUAGUCC
RNAcentral lists this ribosomal RNA (445 nucleotides) under uncultured bacterium. RNAcentral's name for it is "bacterial SSU rRNA". It matches the Rfam family "Bacterial small subunit ribosomal RNA", at positions 354 to 796 of the family's 1533-position model. The record is from RNAcentral.